GAUGAACGCUGGCGGCGUGCCUAAUACAUGCAAGUCGAACGAGGUGCUUUUGUAGCAAUACGAGAGUAUCCUAGUGGCGAACGGGUGAGUAACGCGUUGGUGACCUACCCCAAAGUGUGGAAUAACAGUCCGAAAGGAUUGCUAAUACCGCAUGUGGUUAUCGGGUUUAGAAACUGAUAACUAAAGGAGCAAUUCGCUUUGGGAGGGACCUGCGUCCCAUCAGCUAGUUGGUGAGGUAAUGGCUCACCAAGGCUACGACGGGUAGGGGACCUGAGAGGGUGACCCCCACAAUGGAACUGAAACACGGUCCAUACACCUACGGGUGGCAGCAGUAGGGAAUAUUGCACAAUGGGCGAAAGCCUGAUGCAGCAACGCCGCGUGCACGAUGAAGGCCUUCGGGUCGUAAAGUGCUUUUCUGGGAGAUGAGAAGGGACAGUAUCCCAGGAAUAAGUCUCGGCUAACUACGUG
RNAcentral lists this ribosomal RNA (468 nucleotides) under uncultured bacterium. RNAcentral's name for it is "partial 16S ribosomal RNA". It matches the Rfam family "Bacterial small subunit ribosomal RNA", at positions 28 to 507 of the family's 1533-position model. The record is from RNAcentral.